Ribosomal RNA from Sinocyclocheilus anshuiensis, 118 nucleotides. The record is from Ensembl. NCBI's taxonomy places the organism in Eukaryota, Metazoa, Chordata, Actinopteri, Cypriniformes, Cyprinidae.
CGCCACAGCCAUAUCACCCUGCAGUCCAAGACUGGUUGCCCACUGAAGCUAAGCAGGGUUGAGCCUGGUCAUUACCUGGAUGGGAGACCUCCUGGGAAAAACUAGGUUGGUGUUGGAA